Long non-coding RNA from Pieris napi, 2136 nucleotides. RefSeq lists it as uncharacterized. The record is from RefSeq and is a predicted model, not a curated record. The transcript is spliced from 2 exons. NCBI's taxonomy places the organism in Eukaryota, Metazoa, Arthropoda, Insecta, Lepidoptera, Pieridae.
UAUUCAACUCCAGUACAACCACUUAACUAAGAGAUAUCAGCUGUGGCCCCACUCUAGGGCAUUUUAUAGGAAAGCUUCACAGACUACAUUCAUGAGUAAAUAUGUAUAUACAGUAAUUUUCUAGUUAGUGCCUUAGUGGAAGUGACAGUUGACAUACAGUGUGACAGACGACAGUGUCAUUGAAUCAAACAAUUAGCUUCUAUAUUAAAUAAACAUUAAACACAAUUAAACAUAAAAAUAUAAGAUAAAUCACUUACAAAUAUUACCCACACAAGUUAUUAAAACUAAAUUAAACAUCAAAAGUUGGUAAUUGCAUUAUAUUAUAGAAAAUUCAAAGUUAUGCUAAGUGUGCAGUUCAGCAAGUAACAAAACAUAAUAUGAAGUUGAAGUCACCCACUCGUAAUCAGUUCUUUGCGAUCUUCCUGGUUCGAGAUUUUAACUUGGGUGUUGUUACCUUAGAAUCGUAAGUAGAUGCUGGAAUGCUUGCAGGAGCCGUAUCAACAUCUUUCAUUGAAUUGACACGGCGACGCUCACCGUUAGCCCCAAUAACAUAUAUUUGGCCAUUCCUGGUCCAACACUUGCUGAUUCCGAAAUGCCUUCUUGCAGCCAUAAACAAAUUAUGCCUGGUUUUGGUCAGGAACUCGGAUAUGGUGAUGCCGGUCCCCUUUAAACCAGACUUAGCCAACCAAAUUUUGUCCUUGUCACAGUGUUCCCUUAGCUUAAUUAGUACAGGGCGAGGCUUAUCAUCACCUUUUAUGCCCACUCUGUGACACCGUUAUAUUAGGGCAUUUGAGCAGAACGGAUAACAUGUUAGCAAUUGGCCCUGGGUUCUCAUCCUUAGACUCAUUUAUGCCAUGUAACAACAAACACUUACGCCUGCUGCGCAUUUCCUGCUCCUCAUGCACCUUAAAAAGAAUUUUCAUUUGAGCCUGUAGAUUCUUGAGACAGAACAGUACUGAGCUUUUGAAUGCCUCAAACUCCCUAGUUAGUGGUGUUUGCUCGAGGGAUGGAGACCUUUCCUGUGCUGCCAAGAGCCACUGCUGGAACUCAUCCAUUUUGGAGGACACCAUUACAGACACAUCCAUCAAUGACUUUUUUAGUUCUUCCAUAAUAAUUAAAUAGGUUGUUGGGAAAUUAAAGAAGAGAAGAUAAGAAAAUUCUACUUUGGGAUAAUUAUUGUUAUCAGAAGGAUAUAAUUAAGGAAAAAUUAGCAAUUCAUAUGCAAUACCACACUAGUACAUCACUAACAGUGGUGUGUGGGCGAUAAAAACGCGGCGCGGCGAAAAGUUGGUCCUUUUCUGCGCGCAGCCUUCGAAGCGUCCGAACGUGUUCUUUGAAAUCGUAGGCUUACGAUAACGCUAAUAAACUGUUCUUGUCAGAACACAUCACCGUUUCUUCACGACAACGUCAAGUAACUGUUCUUGUCAGAACACAUCACCGUUUCUUCACGACAACGUCAAGUAACUGUUCUUGUCAGAACACAUCACCGUUUCUUCACGACAACGUUAACAAACUGUUCUUGUCAGAACACAUCACCGUUUCUUCACGACAACGUUAACAAACUGUUCUUGUCAGAACACAUCACCGUUUCUUCACGACAACGUUAACAAACUGUUCUUGUCAGAACACAUCACCGUUUCUUCACGACAACGUUAACUGUUCUUGUCAGAACACAUCACCGUUUCUUCACGACAACGUUAACUGUUCUUGUCAGAACACAUCACCGUUUCUUCACGACAACGUUAACAAACUGUUCUUGUCAGAACACAUCACCGUUUCUUCACGACAACGUUAACAAACUGUUCUUGUCAGAACACAUCACCGUUUCUUCACGACAACGUUAACAAACUGUUCUUGUCAGAACACAUCACCGUUUCUUCACGACAACGUCAAGUAACUGUUCUUGUCAGAACACAUCACCGUUUCUUCACGACAACGUUAACAAACUGUUCUUGUCAGAACACAUCACCGUUUCUUCACGACAACGUUAACAAACUGUUCUUGUCAGAACACAUCACCGUUUCUUCACGACAACGUUAACAAACUGUUCUUGUCAGAACACAUCACCGUUUCUUCACGACAACGUUAACAAACUGUUCUUGUCAGAACACAUCACCGUUUCUUCACGACAACGUU